AGAGAGAGAGAGGGGGAGAGAGAGAGAGAGAGAGAGAGAGAGAGAGAGAGAGAGAGCUGCUUCAGUAUGAUCCAGAGAGCAGGAAGAGAUAGGCGUAACUUACCACUGCAAGUUCAAAGUCUCACUUCAGCACAGGAGUACUUGGAAAGCAGGGAAGGAUCUCCUAAUCACCUCGAUCACCUUGGGGAAUGACUCUCCAUUCAAGCAUCCAGUGGGCUGGUAUGUGCUCAUUUCACCUUCUGAAGGGGAGAAGAAGGACACACUCCAAAAUGCCUCAAGAAGACACUGGGAGGAAUUCAAAAUUCUCCACUCUUAUCACUCCAGAGUCGGUGGCAAGAGAAAUUGCAGGCAAAAACCUGGCAGUUAAGAAGUUGGAAACUGCUUCAGAAAAGAGACAAGGAUUUCUAUCCAGUGGCCAAUCAGUGAGCAGCACCUCUUGCAGCAAUGGUAGGUCUGUUGAAGCGAACAGCCUGCAUUUUGGGUGAGCUUUUAGCCAAAUAAACGAAUACAUGUGUUUGGAAGUCUUUUUUUU
Molecule: long non-coding RNA, 532 nt
Filed under: Salvator merianae (Argentine black and white tegu)
Lineage: Eukaryota; Metazoa; Chordata; Lepidosauria; Squamata; Teiidae
Description: lncRNA (ENSSMRG00000004414.1)
Source: RNAcentral